ACUCACAUAUACUACAUGUUGAUGCUUGUCAUCUUGUUCGUUACAUACUACAUAGGCAGAGGCUACGUGUACCGUGGUCAAAUCAAAUAAUAUAAGACUCUAUAUGUAUCAGAUCGGGCUAAGGAUGCUGCUCAUCUUCUUGUCUUUCAGUGUAGUACGUACGCCGCGUCGGAUGUUGUGUCCUGUCCAUAUGUAUGUGUCGCCUCGGACGGUGGCCCUUCCUUCCUUGUGCCUGGCGGUCACACAGUGGUCAAACUAGUUCAAGUUUUGUUCCUUUUAAUUCAAAAAGUAAGGUGAAACUACUAGUAAAUAAAUGGAGCUUAUCACUGAAAACUGAAUGGCACCUCAGUCAGGUUAGUUUCAGGUUCUGAGACUGAAUGCAUGUCGUGCCUGUCCUCAUACUGUGAGACCCAAAGUAAACCAAUCUUAACCAGGGAACAUCACGCGUCACGACUGCUGUCAUGGAACACCGACACCGUACAUGGAAACAAAGAAACUUCCAGGCAGCCUCCAUGGACAGAGCCAUAAACUCAAAUGGCAGCACCGUCGACGGCGAACGAUACCUUUUUGAUAACUAGCUUGAUUGACUGAAAUCCUUCACGUCCAUCA
RNAcentral lists this long non-coding RNA (609 nucleotides) under Triticum aestivum (bread wheat). RNAcentral's name for it is "long non-coding RNA (TAES_LNC010063)". Lineage: Eukaryota; Viridiplantae; Streptophyta; Magnoliopsida; Poales; Poaceae. The record is from RNAcentral.